AUCCAACUGACGAGUUCCAAAUAGAAUGAAAUUUUAUAUCCUGGAU
This 46-nucleotide non-coding RNA is filed under the name Trichobilharzia regenti. Lineage: Eukaryota; Metazoa; Platyhelminthes; Trematoda; Strigeidida; Schistosomatidae. The record is from RNAcentral.